This 301-nucleotide ribosomal RNA is filed under the name uncultured bacterium. RNAcentral's name for it is "partial 16S ribosomal RNA". It matches the Rfam family "Bacterial small subunit ribosomal RNA", at positions 509 to 807 of the family's 1533-position model. The record is from RNAcentral.
CAGUCGCCGCGGUAAUACGUAGGGCGCAAGCGUUAUCCGGAAUUAUUGGGCGUAAAGAGCUCGUAGGCGGUUUGUCGCGUCUGCCGUGAAAGUCCGGGGCUCAACCCCGGAUCUGCGGUGGGUACGGGCAGACUAGAGUGAUGUAGGGGAGACUGGAAUUCCUGGUGUAGCGGUGAAAUGCGCAGAUAUCAGGAGGAACACCGAUGGCGAAGGCAGGUCUCUGGGCAUUAACUGACGCUGAGGAGCGAAAGCAUGGGGAGCGAACAGGAUUAGAUACCCGAGUAGUCCCUGUCUCUUAUAC